GUACUGUGCCAUCUCACUCUGCAUGCACUAAUCUAAUUGGGUCUCAGAAGCUAAGGAGGGUUGAGUCUGGUUAGUACUUGGAUAGGAAGAAGUCCACCAAAUUUUAUCUUGAAUAAAUAGCAGGGCAGAACU
Ribosomal RNA from Cavia aperea (Brazilian guinea pig), 132 nucleotides. Lineage: Eukaryota; Metazoa; Chordata; Mammalia; Rodentia; Caviidae. The record is from Ensembl.